RNAcentral lists this ribosomal RNA (788 nucleotides) under uncultured bacterium. Its description in RNAcentral is "bacterial SSU rRNA". It matches the Rfam family "Bacterial small subunit ribosomal RNA", at positions 135 to 942 of the family's 1533-position model. The record is from RNAcentral.
AGAGGGGGAUAACCACUGGAAACGGUGGCUAAUACCCCAUGUGGUUCCGCAUUCGGUUGCGGGAUUAAAGGCUCCGGCGCUUCGGGAGGGGCCUACGGCCUAUCAGCUAGUUGGUAGGGUAAUGGCCUACCAAGGCUAUAACGGGUAGCUGGUCUGAGAGGACGGUCAGCCACACUGGCACUGAGACACGGGCCAGACUCCUACGGGAGGCAGCAGUGAGGAAUAUUGCGCAAUGGGGGAAACCCUGACGCAGCAACGCCGCGUGGGCGAAGAAGGUCUUCGGAUCGUAAAGCCCUUUUCUCCCGGACGAGGAAGGACGGUACGGGAGGAAUAAGUGUCGGCUAACUACGUGCCAGCAGCCGCGGUAAAACGUAGGACGCAAGCGUUAUCCGGAUUUAUUGGGCGUAAAGGGCGUUUAGGCGGCGUCUUAAGUUGGGCGUGAAAUCUUCCGGCUCAACCGGAAGGGUGCGUUCAAUACUGGGACGCUUGAGGGCAGCAGAGGGAGGUGGAAUUCCCGGUGUAGCGGUGGAAUGCGUAGAUAUCGGGAGGAACACCAGUGGCGAAGGCGGCCUCCUGGGCUGUACCUGACGCUGAAGCGCGAAAGCGUGGGGAGCGAACGGGAUUAGAUACCCCGGUAGUCCACGCCGUAAACGAUGGAUACUAGGUGUUGGUGGUAUUGACCCCAUCGGUGCCGCAGCUAACGCAUUAAGUAUCCCGCCUGGGGACUACGGUCGCAAGGCUAAAACUCAAAGGAAUUGACGGGGGCCCGCACAAGCAGCGGAGCGUGU